This is a non-coding RNA of Prunus avium (sweet cherry), 488 nucleotides long. NCBI's taxonomy places the organism in Eukaryota, Viridiplantae, Streptophyta, Magnoliopsida, Rosales, Rosaceae. The record is from RefSeq and is a predicted model, not a curated record.
CCAUGAUCGUGAUUUUUAUGCUCAUUCUUUUGAGGAACUAUUCGAUUUGGCCAACUCUGAUUCAACUUCUACGUCAAGAUUUAAAUUCUCCGUUACAGUUUUUGAGCUCUACAAUGAACAGAUAAGGGAUUUACUCCCAGAAUCAGGAGAUGUUCUACCAAAGAUUUGCAUUGGAUCACCGGAGUCCUUUGUAGAACUUGUGCAGGAAAAAGUUGAUAACUAGAAAAAGAAGUUCAGUAUUUGCAGCAAGCUUUCUCUAGUUGACUUGGCUGGAAGUGAAGGUUUAAUUGCUGAAGAUGACAGCAGUGAGCGUGUGACAGACUUGCUGCAUGUGAUGAAAUCACUUUCAGUGUAUGUUUGGAUGACUUAUAUCAUUUUUCUGAUAUUGAAAAGUUUUGGUUUCUAGCCUUUCAGGUUGCCUAUAAUUUUAAGGAUGGUUCACAUUGGUCUUAAACUUUUGAACAAUAUACGGUUUUCAUUUUGCAUGA